CUUGACACAGGGUCAUUUUGACAUGACCUAAAUAUCAAGCCAGUAAGUUGUCAGUGUGUAUUGUGAUGCCUUAGCAUGCUGCAGGGAGAUGGGGAGGGGGUGACGGGACAUGUGCAGUAGCAUCAAGGAUGGAGGAGGCUCAGGACUAAGACACAGAAUGAGGAGAAGGUCAGAAAUAGUAAAGGGUCAGGGAUACCAUGGUUGCACUCAGUACUGUCACUAUGCUGAGCACUGGGGAAGUAACUACCCAAGACCUAGUCCUGCUCUCGAGGAGGUCAGUCUGUUAGGACAGAUCAGAGAGUGGAAUAGGCUCCGUGGAUGCAGAGGAACCAUGGACCGUGGAGCACUGUAAGAAAAAUGGACACGUUCAAAUUGUGGACUUGCCCUGGGCUGGACUGCUGGGAAUACACUUGGCAGUGACUGUGUCAGUGGUGCUGUUGAGGCAAAGGGGAAGCAGUGAUAAAAGUAGCUGGAUGGAGCGUGAAGUUGCAUACGGUUGCUGAAAAAGGUACCAACAGAGGUGAGGGAUAAACGGUGGGUCUCAUGGGGGAAAAGAAGGGUUAAAUCACAUCACAUCUAGAUCUGGAAUUUCUCCACUUUUUUCCAGGAACCUCUGGAUUGAUUAAAUGGCAAAUUCUGGCAACCCAGUCCUGGCGCUGUCAUUUCUCCCAUUCUGCCGCAUGCUUCUACACACACGUACAUACACAGAGACUCUCCA
This 718-nucleotide long non-coding RNA is filed under the name Vulpes vulpes (red fox). Its description in RNAcentral is "lncRNA (ENSVVUG00000003009.1)". Lineage: Eukaryota; Metazoa; Chordata; Mammalia; Carnivora; Canidae. The record is from RNAcentral.